This 497-nucleotide ribosomal RNA is filed under the name uncultured bacterium. Its description in RNAcentral is "partial 16S ribosomal RNA". It matches the Rfam family "Bacterial small subunit ribosomal RNA", at positions 28 to 507 of the family's 1533-position model. The record is from RNAcentral.
GACGAACGCUGGCGGCGUGCCUAAUACAUGCAAGUUGAGCGCUGAAGGUUGGUACUUGUACCAACUGGAUGAGCAGCGAACGGGUGAGUAACGCGUGGGGAAUCUGCCUUUGAGCGGGGGACAACAUUUGGAAACGAAUGCUAAUACCGCAUAAAAACUUUAAACACAAGUUUUAAGUUUGAAAGAUGCAAUUGCAUCACUCAAAGAUGAUCCCGCGUUGUAUUAGCUAGUUGGUGAGGUAAAGGCUCACCAAGGCGAUGAUACAUAGCCGACCUGAGAGGGUGAUCGGCCACAUUGGGACUGGGACACGGCCCAAACUCCUACGGGGGGCAGCAGUAGGGAAUCUUCGGCAAUGGACGAAAGUCUGACCGAGCAACGCCGCGUGAGUGAAGAAGGUUUUCGGAUCGUAAAACUCUGUUGGUAGAGAAGAACGUUGGUGAGAGUGGAAAGCUCAUCAAGUGACGGUAACUACCCAGAAAGGGACGGCUAACUACGUG